This 429-nucleotide ribosomal RNA is filed under the name Bacillota bacterium. Its description in RNAcentral is "Firmicutes bacterium partial 16S ribosomal RNA". It matches the Rfam family "Bacterial small subunit ribosomal RNA", at positions 355 to 776 of the family's 1533-position model. RNAcentral also lists the same sequence under 3 other names. Lineage: Bacteria; Bacillati; Bacillota. The record is from RNAcentral.
UGGGGAAUAUUGGACAAUGGGCGCAAGCCUGAUCCAGCCAUACCGCGUGGGUGAAGAAGGCCUUCGGGUUGUAAAGCCCUUUUGUUGGGAAAGAAAAGCAGCCGGUUAAUACCCGGUUGUUCUGACGGUACCCAAAGAAUAAGCACCGGCUAACUUCGUGCCAGCAGCCGCGGUAAUACGAAGGGUGCAAGCGUUACUCGGAAUUACUGGGCGUAAAGCGUGCGUAGGUGGUUGUUUAAGUCUGUCGUGAAAGCCCUGGGCUCAACCUGGGAAUUGCGAUGGAAACUGGGCGACUAGAGUGUGGCAGAGGAUAGUGGAAUUCCUGGUGUAGCAGUGAAAUGCGUAGAGAUCAGGAGGAACAUCCGUGGCGAAGGCGACUGUCUGGGCCAACACUGACACUGAGGCACGAAAGCGUGGGGAGCAAACAGG